Mesocricetus auratus (golden hamster) is the source of this 1882-nucleotide long non-coding RNA. RefSeq lists it as uncharacterized. NCBI's taxonomy places the organism in Eukaryota, Metazoa, Chordata, Mammalia, Rodentia, Cricetidae. The record is from RefSeq and is a predicted model, not a curated record. The transcript has 3 exons.
GAUCCCGCGCGGCUCUGUGGACGGACGGUUUCAUUGCCCUUAAACUUUAGCCGCUUCCAGAACCUAUGUUUGCCUGCAUGGACGCUGCGGAGCUACGGAAACUACAUUACCCACGAUUCUUUGAGCCGAGUGGCCAAAGGCUGGACCAAUGAACUCUGAGAAAGGCCUUUUUUGGUGCUCGGACCGCAAGCUGUGGGCAAGACUUCCUACAUCUCCGCCAAGCGGUCCUUGUAGCUGCCUUGGGGCUAUUUCUGGCUAUCAUUUGAUAAAAAGAGUGUGGAGUGGGAAACAAGGUGGGCAGAGAGGGUGUAGAUCUACGUCCCUAUCACUGGCCAUGAGGGAUGCUCGACCAUUUGCAGAGUAUGACGACGGCUGCCAAAGUGGUGCAACCUGCUUAAGAAAGUGUCGCCCUCCCCUCCCUCCACCCCCCCAACCCCCUUCCCCCCCCCCCCCCCGGCCUCACCACAGUCCUAGAUCUGCAAGAGGUUCGCGUCCCUACGGUAGAAAUCCCUGUGUCCAGAGCAGUUGCGAGCUUGUGAGUGGAAUCCCGAUGACUGUUGGCGGAUGUGACUGGAUGAGAGUGGGACCCGCAGAGGUCUAGUUGACAGGUGUGUGUGUGGUGUCUUGUCUGCGAGGUUGAGCAGGACCAUUUUUAGGCCUUCCAGUGGUGAGGUGAGGAAUUUUUUUUUACUUGUAUCUUUAUGGAUCUGGGACUGAGUGAGGCUCGGGAUGGGAGAACAUGGUUUACAAGACUCUCAAAGUAGCCUUGAGGACUUAACACUGAGGCUCCGGAAGGUUGAGUCUUUUGGGACUCAGCUUUGAGUGCUGAAGACUAGGGAUAUAUAAUCCAGCCGUAAUAAGGUCUCAUGGCUCCAGGGUUAUACAGGGAUUGAGGGGAGGAUGCUGAAACCCCUACCUACCAUGAUCCUUCACAACCUUCUUCCCGCUGACUCUCAUGACGACCAAAGCGCUUAUGGACUGUUCACAGGGAUAUGUGCCCUUUGAGGAUGUGGCCAGGUACUUCUGCCAGGAAGGAUGGGAGCUCCUGGGUGAAGCUCAGAGACUGCUGUAUCUCCAUAUGAUGCUGGAGAACUUUGUACUUAUAACCUCCCUGGAUUAUUGGCAUGAAUCAGAAUAUGAAGGAAAUCUUUCUGUACAAAGAGUUUGCAUAAAUGUCACAAGCCAGGACUCCAAAGAAAAGUCUCCUCACUGGGAAGACUCACUCCUGUGACAUCUGUGUUCCUGUCUUGACAGACAUUUUGCAUCUGGAUGGCCCACCUGAACAAAAACUAUUCUUUGUAGAAGCAUGUUCAAUCUUCCAGAGCCAAAAGCAUCACACUGCCAAGAAUCCAUUAAAGGGAGAUGUGGACAGAGACUUCCUUGUGAAAAACUGCACACUCCAUGUAUCAGGGGAUCCUUUCAUUUAUAGGAAAAUUAGAAAGGACUUCCCAGCUAGAUGGGAACUUCUCCAGUCCCAGAACAGUCCCAAAGAUAAUAAGCUAAGUGAAGUCACCAAGACUGCAGAGGCUAAUAGUAGAAAAUGUCCCUUUAAAUCCCAAGAAUUAGAGCUUCAGGUAAGUUUGGGUCCCCCUGGGACCACCCCCCAUCCUCACCCAUCACCCAUCCCCUCUAUAUUCUGGGGGCCCGCUCCUGGCAUCCAGAGGACUCACCCACACAGGAAAGGCAUCAGUCCUUCCAGACCCCAACCUCCGGCGUCCCCAGCUUCAGGUGAGCUCGGGUCCCCCUGGGACCAACCCACCCCCACCCAUCACCUACUCCCUCAAUCUCCCGGGGUCUGCUCCUGGCACCCAGAGGACCUGCCCACACAGGAAAGACACCAGUCCUUCCAGACCCCACCCUCCAGCAUCCCCAGCUUCAGCUU